Molecule: small nuclear RNA, 163 nt
Organism: Pygocentrus nattereri (red-bellied piranha)
Lineage: Eukaryota; Metazoa; Chordata; Actinopteri; Characiformes; Serrasalmidae
Gene: U1
Rfam family: U1 spliceosomal RNA
About the family: U1 is a small nuclear RNA (snRNA) component of the spliceosome (involved in pre-mRNA splicing). Its 5' end forms complementary base pairs with the 5' splice junction, thus defining the 5' donor site of an intron.
Source: Ensembl
GUACUUACCUGCCGGUGGUGAUACCAUGUGCAUGAAGUUGGCUCACCCAGGGCGAGGAUCUGUCAAAGCACUUUGGUUGUGUUCAUCCUUGCAAAUUCUCCAAAUAAGGGAAUCUCAACUGCAUAAUUUCCGGUAGUGGGGGACUGUGUUCCACUCGCUGGAG